GGGCCCGAUGGCGGGAGCGGCAUCGCGCUGCCAUCGAUGAGGCAGCCGCCCCCGCUUCACCCGGAGCCCACCUCGCCCACCACGCAGUCGCACCACCACUACUACCUCUUCUCCAUCAAGCAGCUCAACACGCUGGGCGCCGCCGCCGUACUGGCCUUCUCGACCACCGUGCCGCUCUCGGAGAUCACCUUUGGCGUUCUGCUCCUCCCCUACCUCCUCCUCCUGGCCACGCUCGCCUUCCCGCAGCGCCCCGGGAAGCCCAACCCGUCCGCACCUGUCUUCCGCGGCCUCGCGCACCUCCUCGCCGCGCACACCGUGGGCGGGUUCCUCGUCGGCGCCGCGCUCCCGGCGCUGUACAUCCUCGACGGCCUCCGGUCCGGGGACACCACGGAGAUCGCCGCCGCGGCCCCGCACGCGUUCGUGCUCUCCACGCAGGUCUUCACCGAGGGGCUCACCGCCGCGUUCCCGUGGCGGUUCUCGCUCCCCAUCAGGGCCGCCGUACCGGUCAUGUACAACGCGAGCAGGAUGUUCGCGGCAGGGGAGUGGCUCCGGAAGGAGAUGGAGGGGGCGACUGCGGUGAUGGGAAGGGAAGGGGGCGGAGCGGCAGGAGGGUGGGCUGGUCGAGGAGUUCCCUGGCGGCGGCGGUGGUGUAGGAAACCAUAG
Molecule: ribosomal RNA, 663 nt
Filed under: Triticum aestivum (bread wheat)
Lineage: Eukaryota; Viridiplantae; Streptophyta; Magnoliopsida; Poales; Poaceae
Description: partial small subunit ribosomal RNA
Source: RNAcentral